UACGUAGGUGGCGAGCGUUAUCCGGAUUUAUUGGGUUUAAAGGGAGCGUAGGCGGCUAAUUAAGUCAGUGGUUAAAGGUAGCAGCUUAACUGUUUUACAUGCCAUUGAUACUGGUUAGCUUGAGUUGACGGAAGGCAGAUAGAAUUUCUGGUGUAGCGGUGAAAUGCUUAGAUACCAGAAGGAAUACCGAUUGCGAAGGCAGUCUGCUGCAGUCACACUGACGCUGAGGCUCGAAAGUGCGGGGAUCAAACAGG
This 254-nucleotide ribosomal RNA is filed under the name uncultured bacterium. RNAcentral's name for it is "partial 16S ribosomal RNA". It matches the Rfam family "Bacterial small subunit ribosomal RNA", at positions 524 to 776 of the family's 1533-position model. The record is from RNAcentral.